Long non-coding RNA from Oncorhynchus keta (chum salmon), 785 nucleotides. RefSeq lists it as uncharacterized. NCBI's taxonomy places the organism in Eukaryota, Metazoa, Chordata, Actinopteri, Salmoniformes, Salmonidae. The transcript has 5 exons. The record is from RefSeq and is a predicted model, not a curated record.
GAGGUGUCGAUGGUCAGGGGGGUUAGGAGGUGUCUGGAUGGUCAGGAGGUGUCUGGAUGGUCAGGAGGGUUAGGAGGUGUCUGGAUGGUCAGGAGGGUUAGGAGGUGUCUGGAUGGUCAGGAGGGUUAGGAGGUGUCUGGAUGGUCAGGAGGGUUAGGAGGUGUCUGGAUGGUCAGGAGGGUUAGGAGGUGUCUGGAUGGUCAGGAGGGUUAGGAGGUGUCUGGAUGGUCAGGAGGGUUAGGAGGUGUCUGGAUGGUCAGGAGGGUUAGGAGGUGUCUGGAUGGUCAGGAGGGUUAGGAGGUGUCUGGAUGGUCAGGAGGGUUAAGGUUAGGAGGUGUCUGGUUGGUCAGGAGGGUUAAGGUUGGGAGGUGUCUGGUUGGUCAGGAGGGUUAGGAGGUGUCUGGUUGGUCAGGAGGGUUAAGGUUGGGAGGUGUCUGGAUGGUCAGGAGGUGUCUGGUUGGUCAGGAAGGUUAAGGUUGGGAGGUGUCUGGAUGGUCAGGAGGUGUCUGGAUGGUCAGGAGGGUUAAGGUUAGGAGGUGUCUGGAUGGUCAGGAGGGUUAAGGUUAGGAGGUGUCUGGAUGGUCAGGAGGGUUAAGGUUAGGAGGUGUCUGGUUGGUCAGGAGGGUUAAGGUUGGGAGGUGUCUGGUUGGUCAGGAGGGUUAAGGUUAGGAGGUGUCUGGUUGGUCAGGAGGGUUAAGGUUGGGAGGUGUCUGGAUGGCCCAGGUAUUUAGAAACGGUCCUGACAUUGUCCUGUCUCAUGCCCUGGAUGUGAGCGUCUAGUCUCU